GAUGAAGAACGUAGCGAAAUGCGAUAAGUAAUGUGAAUUGCAGAAUUCAGUGAAUCAUCGAAUCUUUGAACGCACAUUGCGCCCGCCAGUAUUCUGGCGGGCAUGCCUGUUCGAGCGUCAUUUCAACCCUCAGGCCCCCAGUGCCUGGUGUUGGGGAUCGGCCCAGCCUUCCUGUAAGGCCGCCGGCCCCGAAAUCUAGUGGCGGUCUCGCUGUAGUCCUCCUCUGCGUAGUAGCACAACCUCGCAGUUGGAACGCGGCGGUGGCCAUGCCGUUAAACCCCCCACUUCUGAAAGUUGACCUCGGAUCAGGUAGGAAUACCCGCUGAACUUAAGCAUAUCAAUAAGCGGAGGA
RNAcentral lists this unclassified non-coding RNA (352 nucleotides) under soil metagenome. Its description in RNAcentral is "partial contains 5.8S ribosomal RNA, internal transcribed spacer 2, and large subunit ribosomal RNA". The stretch from base 1 to 120 matches the Rfam family "5.8S ribosomal RNA", at positions 35 to 154 of the family's 154-position model. The record is from RNAcentral.